Molecule: ribosomal RNA, 256 nt
Filed under: uncultured bacterium
Lineage: Bacteria
Description: partial 16S ribosomal RNA
Rfam family: Bacterial small subunit ribosomal RNA
Source: RNAcentral
UACGUAGGGGGCAAGCGUUGUCCGGAAUCAUUGGGCGUAAAGCGCGUGUAGGCGGCUCGAUAAGUCUGCUGUAAAAAGUCCAGGGCUCAACCCUGGAAAGCCGGUGGAAACUGUCGAGCUAGAGUCCGGAAGAGGCGAGUGGAAUUCCUGGUGUAGCGGUGAAAUGCGCAGAUAUCAGGAGGAACACCAAUGGCGAAGGCAGCUCGCUGGGCGGUACUGAGCUGAGACGCGAAAAGCGUGGGGGGAGCAAAACAGG